GACGUGACUUCAGAGUUUGAUCCUGGCUAGGACGAACGCUGGCGGCGUGCUUAACACAUGCAAGUCGAGCGGUAAGGCCUUUCGGGGUACACGAGCGGCGAACGGGUGAGUAACACGUGAGUAAUCUGCCCUUCACUUCGGGAUAACUACCGGAAACGGUGGCUAAUACCGGAUAUGACCUGGACUCCGCAUGGGGUUGGGUGGAAAGUUUUCGGUGGGGGAUGUGCUCGCGGCCUAUCAGCUUGUUGGUGAGGUAAUGGCUCACCAAGGCUUCGACGGGUAGCCGGCCUGAGAGGGUGACCGGCCACACUGGGACUGAGACACGGCCCAG
This 331-nucleotide ribosomal RNA is filed under the name uncultured bacterium. RNAcentral's name for it is "bacterial SSU rRNA". It matches the Rfam family "Bacterial small subunit ribosomal RNA", at positions 1 to 334 of the family's 1533-position model. The record is from RNAcentral.